This 253-nucleotide ribosomal RNA is filed under the name uncultured bacterium. RNAcentral describes it as "partial 16S ribosomal RNA". It matches the Rfam family "Bacterial small subunit ribosomal RNA", at positions 524 to 776 of the family's 1533-position model. The record is from RNAcentral.
UACGGAGGGGGCUAGCGUUGUUCGGAAUUACUGGGCGUAAAGCGCACGUAGGCGGCUUUGCAAGUUGGAGGUGAAAGCCCGGGGCUCAACUCCGGAAUUGCCUUUAAAACUGCAUCGCUAGAAUUGUGGAGAGGUAAGUGGAAUUCCGAGUGUAGAGGUGAAAUUCGUAGAUAUUCGGAAGAACACCAGUGGCGAAGGCGGCUAUCUGGACCGUAACUGACGCUGAGGCGCGAAAGCGUGGGGAGCAAACAGG